GGUUGGAAGAAAACCCUUUUCCAAUUUAUUCAAUUCUUCCUUCCCCGCUCACCCCUACCAACAUGAUGCUGCACACAAGUGACGAGACACGACGGUGCCGGAGACCGCCGGUUUCGCCCCUGCCCUGUAGGCUGUAGUGUGCGACGCCGGUUCCGUUGAUUUCUAAUUUUUUUUCUAACAUGACUUUUGACUUCAUUAUGAAAAUCUUACAUCUUUUUGAGUUUUGGAGUAAAGAUAGAUAUAUUGUUGUGUUAUCUGUUGAUAUACUAAUUAAUUAUACAAUAAGCCAUAAAAUAUUGUAUUUUUAAUAAAUAGGGUGUAUUAAAAUUUAAAAGUACAAAAUUUAAUUAAAAAUAAGAUUACUGCAAUUUGAGUUAUCUUCAUAAUUUACUUCUGUUAAUUAUUAUAUUCCUCAAGUAUUGGACUGAGGGUAAGGGAUAUAAUUACAUAAUUGAACAGUGCCAAUAUAUUAUGUGAGUGCUUACAUUUUUUAAAUGAAAAUUUUCACAGGCUAUGAAUCGUAUGAAAAAAUGAAAAUUUUCACAGGGUAUGAAUCGUAUGAUUGCCUGUUUGUAUGUACUAAGUGCUAACUGCUAAAUUGACAAAUUUAAUUUUAUUGUAUUGUAAUUUGUAGGUGCUAACUGCUCAACACCAUGUUUAACAGUUUAAGGGUAUCAAUUUGGCGUGAAAUUGGAACAAAAUCGCAGAAUUCUUUGUCCACUUGGUGAGCAAGUUCUCUGGUUCACUGGUUGGAGACUUGGAGCCAAUAUUAAUGCUAAGGGAUUCCUUCCUCAGGUCAGUGAUUUAAGUUGAUUAGUUGAUGAUAAAUAUGUUGAGAUUUAUUCAUUUGGGAAUUAAAAAAUUGCGAAUUGUGAUUUAUGAAUUAUGAUAAGUAAUUUACGUUUUAUGAGUUAUGAUUAUUGAUUUGGGAAUUUAUGUUUACGAAAUUAUAUUUGCAUUCGCGAUUUAUGAUAAGUAAUUUAUAUUUUGAUGAGGAAUGAUUAUUGAUUUGGAAAUUUAUGUUUAUGAAAUUAUGUUGUGAAUUGUGAUUAUGAUAAGUAAUUAGUGUUUUGUGAGUUAUGAUUAUUGAUUUGAGAAUUUACGUUUAGGAAAUUAGUCAAAGUGAUAAAAUUUAAUUGACAAGACCCAUGUGUACUUUAUUUUUAUUUUUUUUUAAUCAAUUGUAAUUGAUCGUAAUAUUGGACUAUUACGAUCGUCGAUGGUCAACGAUCAACGGUCAACCCAUCCUAGCUGGACUUGGAUAUUAGAUUUGCCACUGAUAAGCACCCUUGAUUAAUAUACGGUUUUAAAUGCAGUGAAAGAUGAAUAGGAACAUUCUAUAACUAUUCUAUUAUUGUCUAAAGUUAGAAUAAGAAUGCUAAAACUUUUAUUUUGUAGACAAAAUUUCCCUUUGCCAAAAUGGUCAUGCAAGGCACCUGCCUAACUUAACAAGAUUUGGAUGGAAGUCGUCAAUGAGGACAAUUUGCGUGAAGUCCGAAUGGUUGUUGAUGAAAUGUCUUAUAAACAUUUCAUGAGAUCAAAAUUGAGACAAAAUAAAAAUGUUGGGAACCAACAUUACGUUAUACCCAAAUUUAUAAUUUUGUGAUUUUAAUAUUCUUUGUUACGAUUUCAUUAUUUAGAAUUGGAUUUGUCAAUUGUCUACACAAGAUUGGAUUAGAGUUUGGUCUACUUCCUUUCUACAUUAAAAUAGUCGCCAAAUAUUUGGUCAAUUUUGUCUUUGUAUAUGCAGAAAAAUAAAUGAACCACUUUUAUUAGUAAGAGAUUCUAGAGUUCUCAAAACUUUUCCAUAAGGAAUGGUCAGUGUUGGGUUUUGAUAAACUUCGUAAUUUUUUGUCUCUUUCUUGCGUUCCUUUGUGGUGUUUUCUUCUUGCCUUUGUGGUUACAAAUCAUCACCAUUAUCUUGUCCUUGUGGGUGAGAUUGAGAAGCAACCGAAGUGAAUAUAUAGGUUUUGGAUUGGAGCCGGUUGGAUUGGUUGUUUGAUAGAGAAAGAUAACGUUGAACUGAGCCCGAAAAACACUGUUUUGACGAUCGGAGCAAGCUUCCGCGACAUCUGGAUUUUGGAAUUGAUGGCAGUAAUAAUAUAUCUAGUGGUGGAGAUAAUAAAAAUUAGAUAUCCUAGAUUUGAAGAUAGACAUAUAAAUAUUGCUCUCUCCUUUAAGGGAUGCUAUCAAUCUGAUGAACGCGUCAAAAGAAUGAUUAUUUUGCUAAUAGGUGAUAGUCCAAUUGGUAGAAAGUAGGAGUCUAUUUUGCAGUGGCACAGGCUAAGAUAUUUAGAUCCUCAUAAAUCACAGAGUGAAAAUGGAAAUGAGCUUAAUGCUUUUGAAGUCAGGUGAUAAUUAUUCAAUUUCAGAUUGUCUAACUACAAAAUCUUUCAAGCUAUCAGUGUGCAAACAUAGUUCAUUUGUGGAGACGGAGAUAAUUGACUCUUUCAAGGAACAGGAUAAGAUGAAAGAAACUGUUGCUGAAGUCAAAAUGUAGAGAUGUACAUGCUUUGAGCCAAUUCUGCCAACUGCUAUAGAAAAAUCAGUACAACACAGGCUUUAGCAUUUUUCAACUUGCUAUAGAAAAAAUUUGUAUCCAUAUUUUUCGAUGUAUCCCCCUCUAAGGCCAAGCAAAAAGAAUAGAGGGAUUUAAGGAAUCAAAUAAAUGGAAAUCUAAUGGAAAAACUUAGUUAUUUUUUCUUUCCAGCUAAAAUAUAGCACAUGCGAUCAACGUGCAAUUUACGUGCGACACAUGUUAAUUGGGCACCUCAACUCCGUAAAAACACCAUAUUAAUUGACACAACAUCUGCAAUUGUAUCAUAUGAUUCAUUCUCUCCAUAAAAGUUAGAGUAUAUUGCAUGAAUUCAUUGAUUAUAGUUAAUGAAAUAAAAUAACUAAAUAAAGAAAAUUAAUAAAAAAAAUCAGAUACGAUAAUACCAUCUAUAACAAUUUGGGAAUCAUAUAAUGAUUCUACCUCAUCCAAAUAUUGAAGAAUUACUAUAGUUUUCUUCUUACUAUGCUACCAAUUUUUAUGGCAUAUCAUCGCCUCAACCAUUUUUCACUCAAUAUAACUCUCAAAGGAAUCAAGAAUCCGACCACUAGUAAUGAAUAUAGACUCAGAAAUAGUAGUGAAUAUUUGAUUAGCUAACACGUCUUUAACAAUCUGGGAGACAAUCUUGUACUUAUUUUCUUUCAAUUUACACCAAAGUAAUAUGUCGGAAAACUCAUUGGUCAAAUCUUCAAAAUGAUAUUUAAGUAAGCCACCAAAUCAUCCUAACAAUUAAUAGUAAAAUCUAAAACUAAGUACAAAUAAUUAAUUGAGUGAUCUGACUAGAAAAUUGAGAUGAAAAUAAAUUAAGGUUGCUGUCCACAAAUAUUUAAGGGAGUCAGGCACAAAUUAGAACAAAAUAACAUAACUACCAAUAAAAUAUAGUAAAUAAUUACCAAAAAAUAAGAAAAAUUGAUUAACUAACUUGAAAAUUUAGCCGAAAUUCGAGAAAAUUAUUAGUGAAAGAAAAAAAAAUGUGUGAGUAUGAAUUUAAAUCUAGAUUUAAUUGUUUGCUCAAUUGUAAUGGGUGUUUAACAAAUACGAUUUAGCAAUAGUUAUUCAACAUUUCAUCCAAUUUGAGGUUUUGCAUUCACAAGUACGAUUACUAUCGGGUAUUUGAGUAUGAUUUAAUUAAUUGGGAUGGAUAAUUAUCUACUUAUGUAUUGAGUUUAAUUGGGUUUUCUUUUUAAAUGGGUUGUAUUUAUGUGACACCCGGGUCCUAAAACUCGAAGCCCAUAAAAGAUAAUACAAAAGAGAACCUAUUUAAAAUUCAUUUCAUAAAUUGAGAAAGUCAAUUGAUAAUAAUAAUAAUAAUAAUAAUAAUAAUAAUAAUAAUAAUAAUAAUAAUAAACUUGAUCAUGAUACUUAAAAUAAUCAAUUCAAAAGGAAAGUUCAUAAAACUUCAUUUAUUUCCACCACCACGAACAAGUCCAAGCAAUCUUCCCAAUGCUUAGUUACCUCAAAGGGGGAAAAUAUAAAGUUGAGAAAAUCAAAAUAAGUAUGUAUGUGUUCAUAAGUUUCUAAUCAUAUAACUUUUGGAAUCAUAGAACUUUCAUAAAGGAUACACAAAAUUAUACCGAGCUUAGGUGGUAUGAGUUUUACGUGCGUAGCAUUACUAGAACUCUGAUUUGAAAUUUAGAACAUACAUAUGGACCCAUAAAACAUAUUUCCAAAAGUGCAGCAUAACAACUAUACUUACCGUUGUGUGGUGAAAAAUAAAGGCAAUCAAAGAAAUUGGCUUGCUUGGUGUUCACUCCAAAGUUUUUUUGAAUAGCGUGAGUACUAAAGAUUUUUGUAAUAUGAAAUAUGUUUGUGUGUAAGACGCGUAGUGAGAGAGAGGAGAAAAAGUGAAGUAUGAAUUUCUUGAAAAUCAUGUACCUAUUUAUAGCAUAUUGAUGAUAGAUGGGAUAAAUUAUUUAAAGACAAUAUUAAUAUCCAACAAAAUAUGUGAUCAAAAUUGAAUAAUCAUAAUAUCCGACAAAAUUUGUGAUAAUGUUGAAUAAUUAAAAUAUAAUCAUAAUAUCCAACAUAAUUUGUGAUAAUGUUGAAUAAUUAAAAAUAAUCAUAAUAUCUAAUAGAAUUUGUGAUAACAUUGAAUAUUUAAAAAUAACCAUAAUAUCUAAUAAAAUUUGGAUAAUGUUGAAUACUUAAAUUUAAUCAUAAUAUCGAAUAGAAUCUGUGAUAAUGUUGAAUAUUUAAAAGUAAUCAUAAUAUCUAACAAAAUUUAUUUAUUUAAAUAUAUCACAAUAUCUUAGAGAUUUUAUCACUUUGAGAUUCAAAUAUUUGUUCUUAAUCCAUAAAAUAUUGGACAUUAAUCAAUUAGGUUCCUAGACUAUACUGUCAACGUGAUAAGGCUCUAAAUUUUAAUAUAAUGACUAGUUUUGAGGUAUGAGGUGUCACAAUUUAGUUUUAUCUCAGUUAGUUAAUUUAUAUUAAUUUAUUUUCAAAGUUUUUUGGUAAAUAAUUUUGCGAUUUGAAACGGUUUGUAAAGAUUGAAACUUAAACCAAAUCACUUCGAAGUGAUUUGGUUUGAUUCAAAAUCAAAACAUUAAUGGAUCCACUUAGAUCCAAAUUGAUGAUUUCGAAAAGCGGUUCGAUUCAGUUUUGCGAUUUGACGGUUUCGUUUUUUAGCACUACUCAUGAGUAGAACUUUUUUUUUUAAUAUAUAUAUAUAUAUAUAUAUAUAUGUUUCGUUUUUUAGCACUACUCAUGAGUAGAACUUUUUUUUUUAAUAUAUAUAUAUAUAUAUAUAUAUAUAUAUAUAUAUAUAUAUAUAUAUAUAUAUAUAUAUAUAUAUAUAUUAAUUUAUUUAUUUUUUAUUACACUUGUUUUAAAUCAACUAUUUUCCCCACUAUUAUUCAUGAAAUAGUGAAUUAAUAUUAUGAUCUAAACCCAACUCAUGGAGAGUAUACUUUCAAUCUUGUUGACUAAAGAGAUAAGCACCCUUGAUGAAUUUGGUAUUAACUGCACUGAACGACGAAUAGAAACAUUAUAUAACCAUUGUAUUAUUGUGAACCUAAUUGAACAUAUUUCUUUCAUAGCAAAUUAUUUAUUUGAAUUAAAUUUUCUUUGUAAGUUACAUAUUUUUUUCAAGGUUUAAAAAUAAAAUGCUCGCAUUGUAUUUGCGAUGCAUUUCAUGUAUUUUUAAUCAUGUAUUUAAAGCGUCAUUGUUUUUACUUCUUGGUCACACGCGAAAGUGAUGUUACCAAAGUAAAUGUUGAAAAUCUGUGUAUGGCAAUGUUUAAGAGUUUUUGUUACAAGUUAUUUCUUGUCAAUCAUAUUUUAGGUUUAUCAAUGAUUUACUUCUUCUUCUUCUUUUUUUAUCGUAAGCAAAAUUCUAUUUUUUUAUGCUAUAUUAGGCUUAGAAAAUGUUUAACACACUCUUAUUUGGGUUUGCUUAAAAGUAAAAAUAGUUGUUAUGUGAUUAUGAGAUUUCUUUUAUAAUCUCAACUGAUAUCGUUAUUUCACUCUAAAAAAAAGUAAUUUUAAAAAGUUGUCUAAAGUUAGAAUAAGAAUCCUUAUACAAGGCACCUGCCUAACUUAAUAAGAUUUGGACGGAAAUUGUCAAUGAGGACAAUCUGAAGUAGGGAAUGGUUGGUGAUGAAAUGUAUUAUAAACAUUUAAUGAAAAUAAAAUUGAGAAAAAGAUUUGAGACUUCUUGUCUUUGACCUUUCCGUAAGGAAUGGUUAGAUUUCGGAAUCGAGUGGCAGUAAUAAUCUAUCUAGUCGUGGACGCCCUAAAGAUAGAUGUCCUAGAUUCAUAUAGAUAUAGAAAUGUUGCUCUCUCUCCUCUAGGGUAUGUUACCAAUCUGAUGUACACACAUCAAAAGAAUCAUUGUUUUUCUAAAAGAUGAUAGUCCAGUAGGUAGAAAGUAGGAGUCUAUUUUGCUGUGGCACGGGCUAAGUUAUCGAGACCUUCAGGAAUCACAGAGCAAAAAUGAAAAUGAACUUCAAUCGUCCCUUUUGAAGUCAAGUGAUAAUUAUUCAAUUUCACAUUAUCUAACUACAAAAGCUUUCAAACUAAUGGCAUCCAAAUAUGGUUGUUUUAUGGAUAUGAUGACAAUCAAUUCUUUGAAGAAGCAGGAUAAGAUGGAAGAAUAGUCGUUGAAGACAAACUGUACUGUACUAGCUUAGAGCCAAUUCUUGUUGGAAAUUUACUUAAUCAUGCAUAGCUGAAUUUAAACAAAAUUUCAAUUCCCACCAAGGAUCUACUUUAUGUUUAGAUAGAAAUUGUGAUAGAAAAUAUACCUUUGUUCGAUGUAAAACAUUUACUAUGAGAAACAUCUCCACUUCCGCUUCCGCUUCAGAUGAGUUGAUUGGCACCUAAACUUUGUCAACACCCCCUCUAAGGCCAAGCUAAAAAUACUUGAGGGGUUUAAGGAAUCAAUAAUUGGAAAUCUAAUGAAAAAGCUUAGUUAUUUUUCCAUUCUAGUCAAAAUAUAGCACAUGUGAUCCACGUGCAUUUAAUGUGCGACACAGGUUAAUUGGGCACCUCAACUCCAUCAAAUCCCUCUAAGCCCAAAUUUUAAAAAAAAAAAAAAAAAAUUUUUUAAGGGACUUAAAGAAUCAUAUUAUGGCAAUCGAACGAGAAAUUUUGUAUUUCUCGGUUCCAGCCACAUUAUAUUAUGUGGGUGUACGUGCAAUUCAUGUUUUUUUAAUCAAGUUUGAUUUUAUUACACUACGUAAUAUUUUCCGUCACAUUUAUUGUGGUGACACCUUAGUAGAUGUCUUUCGAGUAGGACUGAUGUAAAUUAAUUAAUUUAGGUGAACUAAUGAUAAAUUAAAGGGAGUUUUAGUUAUCUUAUUUUGAAUAGAUCAAAAUAAUAAUUGUACAAUUUAUUUUCAAUUCACCCCAAACUUUUUGAAAAUCAUGGGCACCUAGGACUUCAGAGAUGACCUACAAAAAUGAUAUCUAAUCAAAAAGUUGAUAAUGAGAGGAUUAAGAGCAAGAAAAUUAGAAAAUAAAAUUAUUAAGAGUAAGAAAAUUGAGUUGUCUCCCAACAAGUGCUUGUUUAAAAUCUCUAGCUCGACUUUAGGGAAUGUUGGCUUCGGGUGAAGAAUGGAUGACUUCUCUUUUGAGAAGUCACCUCCCAAAAAUGGCUUCAACCUUUGCCCAAAUAAGGCCCCGCUUUGAUAAGGGCCCCAAAUUUAUAAGAUUAAUUGAUUGGUUAAAGAAAAAUAAAAAUUAUAUUUAUAAAAUUCCUUAAAAUAGAAUUAUCACAUGCAAACACAAUAAACUAAUAAAAAUUGAAAUACAAAAUUAUUUUAAAAACAUGUAAAUGACAUAAAACUAAUCACUUACAUUUAUUUAUCACAUAAAUAUAACACAAACAUUACUUUUUCUCUCUAUUACUAAUUUGACACAUUAUUUUCCAAACAUUUCUUUUCUUUUCUUAACCAAACAAAAGGUCUUUUUGUCUCUUCAAAUUAUAUUCACCCAUCAUAAUUUUUUAAACCCAACAAGAAAUAAAGAGUAAUAUUAUUUGCAGUCACUCGCUGUCAUAGUCACCCUACGUGGUUUAUAUAUGACGGUUAGUGAUUUGAUGCAUUAAUGUAGUAUUUUUUGCCUUAUGCAUCAAAUGACUAACCGCUACAUGUAUGUCACGUAGGGCGACUGCGAUAGUGAGCGAUUGCAUAUAGCAUUAUUUGGAAAUAAAUUAUCUCCAUUUGAAUUAAAAUUUUGAAGAUUCAAUUUGAUAGAUUAGUAUGGUCUCAUUGUCAUUGUUACAGUUUUACAGGUUUCUUUCUUUCUCCCCUAUCUUCAACAUAUAUACUACAAAGUAUAUAGGUUAUUUUUAUUAUUGUUUUGCUUUAAUCUCAUGAUAAUAUCCUUUUUAGAUGUUUGUUGAAAGUACUUAGAAUUUAAUAAUUCUUCGUCCGUAUUCAUACUUCUUGUUUGUAUGUUAACUUCUUAUGAAUUAAUAUAAAAUUAUAGUAUAUUUGAUCAUCAUUUUCAUUAUUUUGUUAGAUUAUCUCUCGCAAUCAACAUUAUCCAAUUUUAUACAUAAAUCACUCAAAUGCAUAUUCAAUUUUAUUUAAAAGAGUUGCAAUGAGAAAAUGAUCAAAGAAACGAACAGACCCAUAUGUCAUUGCUUGUAAUUUUGUUUGCUGAAACUUCACUUAUAAUUUGGAUUGCAUGUUGAAAUUUGACAUUUUGUAUAUUCCUCUUCAAAUUUUGGGACUUAGUUGACUGUAUUAGAUCAUUCAUAAUUAUAUUAAAACUCUUUGUAAGAAGGUUCAAAAUAUAGUGGGCCUCAUAUUUGAAGUUGGGAUAAGGCCUGCAAAAUAUCAGGGCCGGCCCUGGUCCGAUGAAUUUAAAAUUCUCAUUUUGCUCAUAAUAUAACUCGACCGCUCCAUGAGAGAAGAUUUGAGUAAUAGUUAAAGGUCCCAACCAUCUAGAGCAGAGUUUAAUCGGGGAACAACUGGAGCCGAGAGUUGUGAAGAAGAACUUUUUGCCCAACAUUGAAUUAUUGCUCCACAAUGUCUGUCAUGCCACUUCUUUGUCUUUUUUCCUUGUAUAGCCAGGCAUUCUCAUAUGAACCAAGGCAGUGUUCAUCAAGUUUAUUUAGUUGAAAUAAUCUUUUCUCACCUGUCAAAUUUACAUCAAAGUCAAUCCUUUUAUCAUCCAAUAGGCUCGCUACUCAAAUUCAACUAGAAGGUUGCAUGCUUUCCUAAACACAACCUAGUAUAGAGAAAUAUCCAUGGGUGUUUUGAAUGCAGUACUAUAAGCCUACAAUGCAUCAUCUAGUUUCUUGGAACUUUUCUUGAGGCAUUCACCGUCAAUUCAAAAACGUUUUUCAACUCCCUAUUUGAAAUCUCCACUUGUCCACUUAUUUGUAGAUAAUAAGGAGUAGCCACCUGGUGUUUCACUCCAUACUCGCCUAAAAUUUAGUCAGAGAGGCUAUUACAAAGAUGUUUGCCUCCUUCACUAAUGAUAACUUGGGGUGUACUAUAACGAGAGAAAAUAUUUUUCUUUAGAAAAUUCACCUCGACUUGGCAUCAAUAGCGGACAAAGCCACCACUUCUACCUACUUUGACACAUGAUUAAUCUCCACCAAAAUCUAUUGAUUAGAGAAUGAAGAUAAAAGUGAAAUCAAUUUCCCAAACAUGAAAAAUCUCCACCUCUAAGAUAGAAUUCAAUGGUACUUCAUCUCAGUUGAAGAUAUUUCCACUCGGUCAAACUUGGAGACAAAUAUAUGAUCAUCCUUGAAUAAGAUAGGCCAAUAGAGUAUCGAUUGAAGAACAUUUGAUGCGAUUUCCAAGGCACCAAAUGACCACCAUAAGGUGAAGGGUGAUAUUGUUCGAGAAUUUUCUCCAUUUCUUCAUCGGGUACUCAUCUUCAAAUGAUUUGGUCCAACCCUCUUUUAAACAACAAUGGGUCGUCCCAGAAAUAGCGCUUGGUAUCAACAAAAAAUUUCUUCCUUUGUCGAUAACAGAGAUCUGGUUAGGUGAAAAUUUACAUGGUCUGCAUAGGUAUGUUAGAUAUUUGUAGAGUAUGCAUUACUUGCAAAAAUUGCUCAUCUGUAAAUAUCUCAUUUAUCUCUUAAUUGUCCACCUCCUUAGUUUGAUCGAGUCUAGAUAAAUGAUCGACUAGAAGGUUCUCGAUCCCUUCUUGUCACAAAUCUCCAAGUCAAAUUCUUAUAGAAGAAAAACCCAUCUAAUCAACCUCAACUUAGCUCUUUCUUUCCAAGUAAAUAGGGUCGAAUGGUCAAUAUAAACAAUUACAUUAGAGCCAAUGAGAUAAGAUGAAAACUUAUCAAAAGGACACACUAUCGCUAGCAUCUCCUUCUCGAUAGUGGCAUAAUUCACUUGAGCUUUGGUCAAAGUCCAACUAGCAUAACCAACCUUAUUCUAAAUAACCUCACUUUAGAUGAAGGAAAAGUUGUGGAACAUGCAGAACAGGAUCAGGCUCACCAGCAGGCUUAGGCCUCUAUUCAGGCAAAAAUGGAUGAGAAAGUGCCUAAUGUGCGAGCUCUCGAAAAAAAGAACUCCCAACACUAGAAAGCAGCUUCCAACAUUAGGAAGCAACUCUUAAAGGCUGCAUACAAACUGUCUACCAUCAAGACUGAAAGUGAUGAGGAUUGAGAAUAAUCAAACAGAUGUUCAUGCAGCUCAGAUGAUUAUUCUUGUUUAUAUUGUCACGGCUAUAAACACUUUCUUGUUCCUAUUAACCAAACAUGUUGGACCUGUCUUAACUGCAAGUGCAUUCGCUAUUUAAUUCCAUCCUCAAUCCCACAAAAUUUGGAAGUCAAAGUGUUAGUUGGUCAUGGUUCAUUCCAAAAUAUGGAUUCGAUACAAUUGAGAAGAAACUAAAAAACUUGGAAAGCAUGCACUUCAAUCCCCCUGCCGGUGUAAAUUGAAAGGGGUUGAUCGAAGUGUGAGAUCAGUCCCAAACUAAGGUCAAGCAACUAACUGCUAGCAAAGUAAUCAAAUGUAGUUCAUUCAAGGCUUAAGAUAGAAUUAAUGGGAUGCGCAUCCUCUUUUCGACUCUGACUCUCCCACUCCAGUUAUUGAUUUUCUCUCUGUUACUUCGAAAGUAGCUGCUUCAACUUCAGCGUUCGAAUUUCAAUCUUGUCUCUCUUUUGUCUCAACAUCGCUCCAAUGACAUAAUUACUUACAUCACACAUAAGCUCGAAGGGUAAAUUCGAAUUUGGAGAUACAAUAGUGGGAGCCGUGAUGAGUUUCUCUUUAAAAGUGUUGAAAGCCUAAAGACACUCUUGAGAGAAAUCAAAUAGAAUAUUCUUUUCAAGUAAGAAGUAAAGUGGCUUGGUGAUUUUUGAAAUAUCCUUGAUGAACCCGCCUUUAAAACAUGGCAUGCCCCAUGAAACUCCUUAUGCCUUUCACAAAGAUUAGUGGAAGCAAUCUUUUAAUGACUUCAAUUUGGCUUUGUCGACCUCAAUCCUCUUUCGUAGAAUCCAAUGUCUAAGAACUAUGCCUUCUUGAACAAUGAAAUUGCAUUUUUUCCAAUUGAGCACCAAGUUGGUUUCUUCACACCUCUUCGACACCAGGCCCAAAUUUUUCAAGCAACCAUCAAAAGAAGUUCCAAAUAUUGAGAAGUCAUCCAUGAAUACCAUUAUAAAUUUCUCUACCAUGUUAAAUAAAAUAGCUAUCAUGCAUUGUUGAAAUUUGUGAGUACAUUGCAAAGACCGAAUGGCAUCUUUCUAUUUGUAAAAGUAUUAUAUGGACAAGUAAAAGUUACCCAUUAGGAAGCAAUAAUGAGAAUGGCCUGCCAAUCCCUCGAUUAUUUGAUCAAUGAAAAGAAAGAAAAGAAAAGCAAUCCUUCCUAUAGCAUUGUUGAGCUUCGCUUUCGAUAGUCAAUGCACACUCUCUAAUUGGACAUCGAUCUAAUAGUAUAAGUUCAUUAUUUUCAUUCAUUGCCAUCAUGACACCUUUUUUCUUCGGUACCAUUUGAACCGGACUAACCCAUGCAAUAUCAAAAUAGGAUAAACAAUGUCGGUAUUAAGCCAUUUCACCAUCUUGGCUCUCACAACUUCUUUCAUGUUUGGAUUCGACCAAUGGCUUGAAGUAUCCUCCGUGAGGAUUUGUACAUAUACAAAUAAGGUCUGAUCUUCUGAAUAUUCGAGAUAGUCCAUCCGAUGGCCGUUUUAAGCUCUCUCAAUACCUGAAGCAAUUUCUCCUCCUCCAACUAAAUCAAGUUAUUGAAAAUGAUAACCAGGAGUGUAGAAGUUUCUCCCAGCUAAGGAUACCUCAAAUGCGAGAAAAUUUUAGAUCAACAGUUGGUACUUGUUCAGAAGAGCACUCUUUAAGUCUUCAAAGUAUGGUAUCUUCUUGCAAAAAUAUGAUGGUGUAACACCAUUUUCUCAACAUUGGGAUCUUCUUCUCCGAUGAACGAAAAGUGCGCAAUACCAAACCCAAGUGGAUCCUUAGAAAACCCAUAUGUAUAAGAAUCAACCAACAUAUGAUCAAUUGUAUCUACUUGAAAGCAUGAAUCGAAUCCCAAAGGAUUCUUGAUAGCCUUCAACACAUUAAAUAUGACUUGCUCAUCUUGAACCCACAAAAUCAAAUGAUCUUCUUGCACAUCAAUUAAAGCUCGCCCUAUAGCUAGGAAGGCCCUCUCUAAAAUAAUUGAGAUGUCAUGAUCUUUUUCCAUAUCAAGGAUAAUAAAAUUGACGGAGAAGUUGAGAAGUUAAAAUUAUCCACCUUGACAAAGACAUCCUCGAUGAUACCAUGUGGAUAUUUGAUGGAUUUAUCAGCCAAUUGUAAAGAUGCGAUGGUUACCUUGGCUUCUCCCAACCUCCAAAAUCCUAGAAAUAGACAAGCAUCAAAUUAAUGCUAGCUCCAAAAUCACAUAAAACUUUAUUAAAAUUUAAUUCACCAAUAGUACAUGGAAUGGUAAAACUCCCUAUGUCUUUGAAUUGGGAGUAGCUUGUUUUGCAAGAUAGCAGUACAUUCCUCUGUUAGCAUUACCAUCUCAUGCCCUUCAAGUUUCCUCUUGUUUGAAAGAAUACUCUUCAUGAACUUAGCAUAACUUGGCAUUUGAUCCACGGCAUUAACAAAUGAAAUGUUGAUGUAUAGCUUCUUGAAUAGCUCCAAAAAUUGCCAACUCGAGCAUCAAGUUUGUGCUUUUGAAGCCUUUGAGGAAAGGGAAUAUGAGGUACAUAAGCAUUGAUCGAGGUUGGAGCUCCAAUUCACUUUCCCUAGAUGCUUCAUCUUGAUUAAAAUCAUCUCCUUUGAAGUGUGCUAAUUAAGCCCCCAUUUGGCCCCCAUUAAUUUGAAUUAUAAUGGGAGGAAUAGUGUUUAAAUGAGUGGUUGUAAAAGAAUGAAAAGUUUUCGAUUUACGAGUAAUAUUAUUUUAUUGAAAAUUGUGUGGUUGAAAAUAGGAGAUAGAAAAUUUAAAUUUAAAUUGAUGAGAUUUAAAGGGGGCCAAACAAGGGCUAAGCUAUUGAACAUUUAUACCAUAAUCUCAAGCAAUUUCACUUCGCUCCUUAUUGAGAUGGCUUGCACAUUAUCUCUUGAAUUAGUUUCGAUGUUGCUAGGCAAAGCUCCUUCUUUUCUUUCCUAGAGAAGUUUAGCUAUUUGACUCACUUAGUUCUCCAAGUUCUUUGAAGACACAUCAUUGUGCUCUUGAUAUUGUAAUUGAUGAUUUGCCAAUUAGUUACAGAAUCUUCCCAAUUUUCUUUCUUCUCUUGUGGUCUUGAGUUUAGCGAUUUUUUAUUAUUAUUAUUAUAGAAGAUUUUAGGAUGGUUCCACCCACUAGGACUAUAAGUUUGAGAAUAAGGAUUGCGCCCUUGACGUUGAAAAUUUUGAGCAUAAGCCACUUGUUUGAUAGAGGCAAAACCAUUAGUCGUCAAUGGACAGUUCGAACUUGGUAAUUUUCUCCACACAUAUCACACCCUGGAUAAGCUAGUACCAUAUUGACGGGAUGAGAAAUAAAAGUGUAAAGCCCUUUGGCCUUCUUUUCUGUAGAAUCAACAGGUUAAGACAAGUGAAUAAAAAUCAACAUCAAGUAUUCCAUUAGCUCCCUUUUGUGAACACCUAUCUAGCUACAUCACAUUGUGCUUACCAAUGAUCUCGAACAAGUCAUAUGCUUCCGAAUGGUUUUCCGUUUGAUUGGCCCGUUAGAGGAUGAAUCAACAUUAGAAAGCAUGAAGGAGUCAAAUCAGAAUAGAAAUAAUUGAUCCAUUGUGAUUCCUUAAUUCGUGUAUUUUCUAAGCAUCUCUUUGAAUCUCUUCCAAGCCUCAUGAAAGCUUUACGAGUCAAUGUUGAAAGGUAGUAAUAUCAUGCUUGAGUUUAGCAACUCUAGAUAGUGAAAAAACAAGUAAUUUUUAAACAAAGUUCAUCCAACUAGUGAUGCGUUAAGGAGGUAAAAUGUCAACCUAUUCUCUUGCUCUAUCCUUCAAUGUAUGAUAAUCUCAUCGGGAUUAUUUCCACAGUCAAACCUACAUAUUUGAAGUUAUGACAAAUUCCCAUGAAGCGUACAAAUUGAGAGUGUGGAUUUACUUUGGCUCUCCUAUAGAAUGAUCUGGUGUUGGAAAACAAAUUAAUUACAUCCAACUGAAGUUGAAAGUUUGGAUGACUAUACGAUGGAUAACAAUGCUUUAUUUGAUUCUUCACUGUGUAGGGAUUCAUAAAAUCCCCAAAAAGCAUAUACUCUUCAUUUAAUAUGGGAUCUUAAACUCUUCAAGCUUGGGAAUCAAAACUCAAUGAAAUUCGCCCCAUAGGCUGUUUCUGAGUGGGGCAUUAGGAUCAACAAUUCCCCCUUCUUGUAUCAUCUCCACUUGUGGUUAUCUUCCUGCUUCUCGUUGUUCUCUUAGUCUUUGUCGAAAGGUUCCUUCAAUGGUCAGAUCAAAUGCAACGAGAUCAAGACUCCUCGAAGCCAUAAAAUGAAGAAGUAUCAAGCAAUCAUACAUUGUUGAUUCUACCAAGAAGAUCGAGUAAGUGGCAGCUUGUGAAGCUAUUAAAGAGGCGGUGUGGCUCAAGAAAUUCCUAAUAAAUAUUGAGGUGGUGAAUGUAUCUGCAUAACCCUUAACAAUGUAAUGUGUUAACAAUUGGAAAGUGGAAAAUGCUAAAGAAUUAAGAUGUCAUUAGAGGGAUAAACACGGAACAUAAAUAUCAUCUCAUGAGAGAUAUUGUUGGUUGUAGAGAUGUGGUUGUCUAUAAGAUUACUAUUGAGAAUAACCUCAUAGAUAUGUUUACAAAAAGCCUAUCAACUAAGAGGUUCGAGGGACGUCUACUAGGCAUGGGAUUGCAAGAUAUGAUACACAUACUCCAGGACAAGUAAGAAAUUCGUUGAGUUAUGUGCCUAUAUAUCAUAGUUUUGCUGUAGUAAAAUAACAAUUGUGUUGUAAAUAAAUUUUAUUUUUAAUUUAUUUACUAUUAUUUAAUUUAUUUGAUAAAAUAUCAAUAAUCGCUAAUGAUAAUGAUAAUGAUAAUGAUAAUGAUAAUAUAAGUGAAGUGAUUAUGUUAAGAAGUACAAUAUGAUACAACUUUAUAUUUUGUGAUCAUAAAUAAAAUUGUUCAUAACCAAUUUAUGAUGGUUGGAACAUUAACUGUAAUGGGAGGUUGUUGUAUUGACUAUUUCAUCAUUCAAGUUUGUAAUUUGUUCUUAUCGUAGAAAUGGUUUAAUGAUGACACAAGUACACUUGGAGUAUAUUGAACGGACCACUUACGUCUUGAGUUUAUUCUAUAGCAUAACCAUGCAAAAAAUUAAAUUUCAAUAUAUUUCAUCUAAAUCUCUUUAUAGGGUUACGAAAAAAAAAAACAUGAUUUUAAUGGCUCUUUGAUUUACCAAUUGGUGAAAUCAAUUUGAAUGAUCAAGUAUCUCUGUGAAUUGGAAGCUUAAGAAUGAGCGAUGUAGAGAACAUAAAUUCAUAUCAAGAAUUGUCACCUUAAAAAUUGGAUCAAGUGGUAUUUUUUGCUAAACAAUUAUAUGUCUAAGCUCUGUAUUUAAUGACAAUUAAACUUCAACAUUUGAUAUUGGUUCAUUGGACCAUUGAAGAAAAUCUAACUCAAGUAACUGAGAAUAAGUAGAGGGACAAAACAUGUAUUUAUGUUGAUAAAUAAUUAUCGGAUCUUGAAUUGUGAUAUAUAUCGGGCUUAUCAGAGAAAAACACUGCAAAUUGUUGUAAAUGGAAAGUCCAUUAAAGUUUAUUGGUAAAUAACAUUUGUACUCCUGUAGCCCUAGAAUUAUUACCAUUGUAUCCCUGAUUCUUACCUAUAAAUAUAGGGCUUUGGUUUUCAAUAAUAUACACAAAAAAUUUAUUGAGUUUUCUCUAUUCUCUUUGAGUUUUCUCUAUUCUCUUUUCCUCUCAUUUUAUAACACGUUAUCAGCACGAAACUCUUAGAAGGUAGUAAUUUUUUUUUUCAUAAUCAUCUAUCACGUAUAUCAAAAUUAAUUUGAUAAUACGUGAAUUUUACAUAUAUAUAUAUAUAUAUAUAUGUUGAAUCUGCAAUACGUGAUCUCAUCUUUCUCGAUCAUUAUGUUUUCUUUGUACCUCUCUUUGAAUUAAUUAAUAUUUUUUCCUUUACAUCAAUCCACGUCCAUUUUUAUGGAGAUAUAUUUAUGUUAAAUCAAUUGAUAUGCAUUAAUUCAUGUUCAUAUACCCUCUUUAUAUUUAGAUCAGCCCUUUACGUUCUACAUAUGCUUAUAAUUUUUUUUUGUUUAAUUAGUCAAUGUUCUUUGUAAGCAAGCUUCAAUUUCAGAUCUUUAUUUUGGCUAACUCCAUAUAUAUAUAUAUAUAUAUAUAACUGUACCCAACUCAUCUUUUCUCUCAAAUCUAUUGGUUUCUGCAAAUUUCAUGCCUUAAUUGGUUAAUACUAAUUCAAUUCUUUUAAUUGCACAUAAUUAGAAUUUCGUGCCAUAAUAUGUAAAUAGGUUUCUACAUGUCACCAAUUUUUUUGUGUUUCACUCUACUCACGUUAUUAAUUCAAAAUAAUAUUUUACAGGUAUUUGUAUAUUAAUUAAUGGUGAGCAAUUGGAUGUAUUAUCAUUUUUUUUAUGUUUAGUUAUGAAACAUUAUAUUAAAUUUAUUUUUAAUUGUUGUUGCUCCUGAAAUAGCACAACAUUAUAAUUAAUAUUCCAGAAGAAUAUUAAUCAUAGAUCUAUUCAUUGUUGCUCUAGAAGUAGCACAACAUUAUAAGAAUAUUAUUUGCUCUUGAAAAGCAUAAAUUAUAACUCUCUAUAUUCCAGAAGAAUAUUGACAUAUUGCACUUGAAGAAAUAAUAGCAAAAUAUAAUGUACUCCAGAAGUAGCAUAUGUUUCGAAGAACAUAUUAUUUCAAAUUAGUAUUUAUCCCUAGAGGAAAACACGUAACUUAAAUUCAUGUUAAUAUUGACUAUUUGAUUAACAUGUGAUGAUUAAUCAUAUUCUUCGAAACUAAUUGUAUUUUUUUAUUGUGUAGUUAAACAAAUGGCAAACAUUAUGAAAUUUGAGUUUGCUACACUUGACAUAUCUGGUAAAAUUUAUUUAUCAUGGAUACUGGAUGCUGAUAUCCAUCUCCUCUCAAAGGGUCUGGGAGAGACAAUAAAAGAAGGAAACAAUGAAUCCCUAUAGGAUUGUGCAAAAGCACUCAUUUUCCUCCGUCGCCAUCUUCACGAUGGAUUAAAAUUUGAAUAUCUCACUGAGAAAGAUCCACAAGUUCUUUGGAAAAAGUUAACUGAAAGAUUUGAUCAUCAAAAGACUAUAGUCCUCCCCAAAACCCGUUAUGAGUGGAUGCACCUUCGUUUGCAAGACUUUAAAAUGGUUAGUAAGUACAAUUUUAAAUUGUUCAGAAUAUGUUCAAAGUUGACUUUGUGUGGAGAAAAAAUCACCAAUGAAGAUAUGCUGAAAAAAACUUUCUCCACCUUUCAUGCCUCGAAUGUGCUCCUGCGGCAGCAAUAUCGUGAGUGUGGCUUCAAAAAGUACUCAGAACUUAUAUCUUACCUACUAGUCGCUGAACAAAAUAAUGAAUUGUUGAUGAAAAAUCAUGGAUUACAUCCAACUGGUUCUGUACCAUUUCCUAAAGCAAAUGGUACUACAUUGUCAGAAGCAAAUACAAUAUUAAGACAAGGACGUGGACGUGGACGUGGACACGGAUUUGGACGUGGACACGAAUUUGGACGUGUACAUGGAAUAAAUCAUGGAACAAAUAAUCAACAAAGUUAUCAACAACAAGGCAAUAAAUUCAAAAGGCACAAAGCAAACGAGAGUGACAAAUCUAAAAAGCAGCAUGAAGAAAGUUGCUUCAAAUGUGGAAUGAAAGAGCAUUGGGCACGUACGUGUCAUACCUCAAAACAUCUUGUGGAUCUCUACUAGAGAUGAAUCGAGGGAAAAGAAAAAUUGGAGACUAAUUUUGCUGAUUAUGAUAGUUCAAUUGAUGUGACUCUUUUAGAUGUCUCCGAUUUCUUUACUGAUCCAAAUGAAAAUAUUGACCAUUUGGUUGGGGGUGGUGUGAUAGAAGAUAUAGAUUAAUUUACUAGUAUUUCUUUCAUUUUAAAAAUUCAGUCUGAAAUAUGUUUUUAAUUUUCCGCACAAAAAUAAAAAAAAUAAAUAAAACUCUAUUAUGCACUGUUUAUUUCAUGAUAUUAAGUAAUGUUUACUUAUUUAAAUUUAAAUUCAAGUUUUUUUUUUAAAUUUUGUUUAUUUUGUUAUAUUUAUAGAUUCAUGAUGGAUAGUCAAGACAACUGCUUAAUUGAUAGUGCAACUAUAUAUACUAUUCUUCAAGACAAAAAAUAUUUUUUAGACUUAAUAUGAGCUAAAAAUAAUGUUAACCCGAUAUUGGGUGCGUUGAAUAUCGUUGAAGGCUCCGGAAGAGCUUGUAUUAUUUUACCAAAUAAUACAAAUUUAUAUAUUGACGAUGCACUUUAUUCUAGCAAAUCCAGAAGAAAUUUGCUUAGUUUUAAAGAUAUUCGCUGCAAUGAAUAUCACAUUGAGACGAUGCAAAAAAAUAAUGUUGAAUAUCUUUGCAUCAUUCUUUUGUAUCUUAUAAGAAGCAGAUAAAAGAAAAUUUUCAUGCACUCCCGUCUGGCAUGUAUUUUACAUUUAUAAAAAUGGUCGAAUCAAAUAAUGUUACGAACCAGAAGUUCGUUGAUUCAAAAAGUUUUAUACUUUGUCAUGAUCGACUUGGAUAUCCAGGAGCCAUAAUGAUGCGUCGAAUAAUAAACAACUCACAUGGACAUCCUUUAAAGAAUCAGAAGAUUCUUUUAUCUAAUGAUUAUCCAUGUGUAGCUUGUUUGCAAGGCAAGUUAGUCAUUAGACCUCCAACUACAAAGGUUAAUAUUGAAUCUCCAACUUUCUUGAAAAGAAUACACGGAGAUAUAUGUGGGCCAAUACACCCACCAUGUGGACCAUUUCGUCACUUUAUGGUAUUAAUUGAUUCUUCUACAAGAUGGUCACGUGUUUGCCUACUUUCAACUAGGAAUGUAACAUUUGCUAGACUACUUGCUCAAAUCAUAAAAUUGCGAGUACAAUUCCCCGAUUACUCAAUCAAGACUAUUCGUCUUGACAAUGCUGAUGAAUUUAGAUCACACGCAUUUGAUGAUUAUUGUAUGUCAAUUGGGAUUGAAAUUGAACAUUCAAUUGCACAUGUUCAUACACAAAAGGUUUAGUAGAAUCGUUUAUUAAACGUCUACAACUUAUUGUUAGACCAUUACUUAUGAAAACAAAACUCCCAACUUCUAUUUGGGGUCAUGCCAUAUUACAUGCUGCAUCAUUGGUUCGUAUAAGACAAACUGUCUAUCAUCAAUAUCCACCUUUGCAACUUGUAUUUGGUCAUGAACCUGAUAUUUCUCAUCUAUGGGUUUUUGGUUGUGCUGUCCAAGUUCUUAUUUCACCCCCACAACAUACUAAAAUGGGUCCCCAACGAAGACUUGGGAUUUAUGUGGGUUUUGAUUCACCAUCUUUUAUUAUAUAUCUUAAACCUUUAACAGAUGACUUAUUUACUGCACGUUUUGCAGAUUGUCAUUUUGAUGAAAUGACUUUCCCAACUUUGGGAAGAGAAAAAUUAUAUCCUGAAAAACAAGAUAGAAUUUCUUGGAAUGAGACAACUCUAUCUCACUUUGAUCCCCGCAGUAAUCAAUGUGAACUAGAAGUUGAAAAAAUCAUUCAUUUGCAAAGAGUUGCAAUUCAACUACCUGAUAUAUUUGUUGACACGAGAAAAGUGACAAAGUCAUAUAUUCCAGCAGAAAAUAUUUCAGCAAAAAUUAAUGUCCCUGCAAGACAAUCUGCUGUGGCAAAUGAAUCUCAAAUACGCCAUAAGCGUGGUCGACCAGUUGGUUCAAAAGACUCUGUACCUCAAAAAAGAAGAGUACAGGAGAAAAACCAACCAAAAAUUUCAGAAGAAAUCACAUUAGAAAAAAUUGAUCAAUCAAAUAUUGAAUGUAUGGUUCCUAAAAAAUCAGAGGUGUCCGAAAAUAAUGAGAUCUCAAUAAAUUAUAUGAUAUCUCAUAAAUUAUGGGAACGGAAUAAUAUUGUUAUAGACAAUAUUUUCACCUUUAACAUGGCUCUUGAUAUUACGCAAAAUGAGAAUAUUUAACCACAGUCUAUUAAUGACUGUCAAAAUAGAAAUGAUUGGCCAAAAUGGAAAGAAGCCAUAUAGGCAGAAUUGAAUUCUUUGAAGAAACGAAAAGUGUUUGGACUAGUAAUUCGAACACCUGAAAAUGUAAUCCUUGUUGGAUACAAAUGGAUUUUUGUAUGAAAGAGAAAUGAGAAUAAUGAAAUCACAAGAUACAAACCCCGACUAGUGGCUCAAGGUUUCUCCCAAAGACCGGGAAUUGAUUAUGAGGAAACAUAUUCUCCCGUAAUGGAUACCAUCACUUUUAGGUUCGUAAUUAGUUUGACCAUGUCACAAGGGCUCAAUAUGCGCUUUAUGGAUGUAGUAACUGCCUACCUAUAUGGUUUACUUGACAGUGACAUAUAUAUAUGAAAGUCCCUAAAGGAUUUAAAGUGCCAGGAAUAAAUGAUACAUGUCCAAGAACUAUGUUCUCAAUUAAAUUGCAAAAAUCAUUAUAUGGAUUGAAACAAUCCGAACACAUGUGGUAUAAUCGCCUUAGCGAAUAUUUGUUGAAAGAGGGUUAUAAAAAUGAUAAUAUUUGCCCAUAUGUUUUCAUAAAGAAAACAAAUAUUAGAUUUGCAAUUGUGACAGUUUAUGUUGAUGAUUUAAAUUUAAUUGGAACUCCUGAAGAGCUCAACAAAACUGCAGAUUAUUUGAGAAAUGAAUUUGAGAUGAAAGAUUUGGGGAAAACCAAAUUUUGUCUUGGAUUACAAAUUGAACAUUUUCUAGAGGAAUUAUUUGUUCAUCAAUCUACUUAUACAGAAAAAGCCUUGAAACGCUUUUAUAUGGAUAAUGCACAUCCAUUGCCAUCAUCUAUGGUUGUUCGAUCACUUGAUGUGAAAAAAGAUCAAUUUCGUCCACUUGAAGAUGGAGAAAAGAUUCUUGGUCCUGAAGUACCAUGCCUUAAUGCAAUUGGAGCAUUAACUUAUCUUGCAAAUUGCACUCGACCUGACAUAACUUUUUCUGUAAAUCUCCUUGCAAGAUAUAGCUCUACACCAACUCAAAGGCAGUGGAAUGGUGUUAAACAUAUUUUUCGUUACCUAAAAGGUACUAUUGAUAUGGGACUGUUUUAUUCUCAAAAGUCACGAUCUGCUUUAGCGAGAUAUGCAGAUGCAAGUUAUCUUUCCGAUCCACAUAAAGCUAAAUCACAAACAGGAUAUGUGUUUACACGUGGAGGAACAGCUAUAUCAUGGAGAUCUGUGAAGCAAUCCUUGACAGCAACAUCCUCAAAUCAUUCUGAAAUUAUUACAAUCCAUGAAGCAUGGCGAGAAUGUAUAUGGUUGAGGAAUAUGACCCAUCAUAUCCAAUCAUCAUGUGGAUUGACUUCAACAAAAAAUAGUCCAACAAUUUUGUUUGAAGAUAAUGCAGCUUGUAUCGUACAACUCAAGGGAGGCUAUAUCAAAGGCGACAGGACGAAGCAUAUUUCUCCAAAACUCUUUCAUACACAUGAAUUUCAGAAGAAUGGUGACAUUGAUAUUCAACAAAUUCGAGCAAGUGACAAUGUGGCUAAUCUAUUCACAAAAGCGCUGCCAACAUCAACAUUCAAGAAAUUAGUUCAUGAGAUUGAAAUGCAUCGACUCAAAGAUUUUCAGUGAUCAACAUCAGGAGGAGUAGCUGUACUCUUUUUCCUUCGCUUAGGUUUUGUCCCAUUGGGUUUUCCUAAUAAGGUUUUAAGGAGGCAGCAUUUAAUUUUAAUACUCCAAAAUAACUGUACUCAUUUUCCUUCGUUUGAUUUUUUUUCCAAUUGGAUUUUUAUCAAACAGGGUUUUAACGAGGCAGAUAUUUUGUAAUAUGUCAUUCAAGGGUGAAUAUAAAUGGAAAGUCCAUUAAAGUUUAUUGGUGAAUGACAUUUGUACCCCUGUAGCCCUAGAAAUUAUUAUCAUUGUAUCACUAAUUUUUACCUAUAAAUAUAGGGCUUUGGUUUUCAAUAAUAUACACAAAAAGUUUAUUGAGUUUUCUCUAUUCUCUUUUCCUCUCAUUUUAUAACACAAAUAUAUUUCACCAUUUUAAUUUAUAUUAUUCUUUGUGUGAAGUCUUUUGUCUUUGGUGGAAAAAGCAAAGGUUAAUAACUAGAUUGGGUGGUCUUGGAUCAAUUAGACAUUAUCUAAUUAUUAGAGUUUGAAAAAUAUGUCCAAACAUGUGCUGUGGUAGAUCUAAAAUUUCUUGGACUUAAUUGCAAUUAUUGUGAAAAUUUUUGAACUUCAUCGCAAUUAUAAUUAAUGUUCGGAUAAUAUACUUAUAAUUAAAUCAAUUAUGGUCUAAUUAAACUUAGACAUGGAUUGAACCACUUUUGUCUAACAUAUGGACGAAGUGGCCCCUAGAACUUGUAGGGGGCGAAUUUUGUGAGAAAAAUAGGAAAAAUUAAUUGUCUUCUUGGUUUAUAUAUGUAUGUGUGUGUCGGGGGGGGGGGCAGUUUUCAAUAAUUUUGAGCUACCCUAUCUCUAAGAUUAGGUAAUUAUAGAUGGGACAAAUUUAUAUGUAUUUAGAGUUUGUAUUCACCAGACACCAUAUUAAUAUUUGCAUUACUGAUGUAUUUUUUUCUUGACUAAUUCAGGCAAUGCUUCACUCUAGGAUACAAAGAUC
RNAcentral lists this long non-coding RNA (23123 nucleotides) under Olea europaea subsp. europaea. The record is from RNAcentral. Lineage: Eukaryota; Viridiplantae; Streptophyta; Magnoliopsida; Lamiales; Oleaceae.